GAGUUUGAUCAUGGCUCAGAUUGAACGCUGGCGGCAUGCCUUACACAUGCAAGUCGAACGGCAGCGGGGGAAAGCUUGCUUUCCUGCCGGCGAGUGGCGAACGGGUGAGUAAUACAUCGGAACGUGCCCUGUAGUGGGGGAUAACUAGUCGAAAGAUUAGCUAAUACCGCAUACGACCUGAGGGUGAAAGUGGGGGACCGCAAGGCCUCAUGCUAUAGGAGCGGCCGAUGUCUGAUUAGCUAGUUGGUGGGGUAAAGGCCUACCAAGGCGACGAUCAGUAGCUGGUCUGAGAGGACGAUCAGCCACACUGGGACUGAGACACGGCCCAGACUCCUACGGGAGGCAGCAGUGGGGAAUUUUGGACAAUGGGCGAAAGCCUGAUCCAGCAAUGCCGCGUGUGUGAAGAAGGCCU
Molecule: ribosomal RNA, 412 nt
Filed under: uncultured beta proteobacterium
Lineage: Bacteria; Pseudomonadati; Pseudomonadota; Betaproteobacteria
Description: bacterial SSU rRNA
Rfam family: Bacterial small subunit ribosomal RNA
Source: RNAcentral